CUCCUACAUCUCUCCCUUUGUUGCCGCCUCCUCUCCUUGGAUGUGGAUCCUUCUUGGGCAUCCCAUUUGCUGGUGUGAGGUAUCACACCAGCACAUCUCCUCCCUUAUCUGGUUGGCUUUCGAAGGUAAUUGGAUUGGAGUUCAUCUCGCUUUUCUGCGACAUUUGACGUGCAUGCGAAGUAGAGGAUCUGCACAUCUAAGCCUCCACAAAGAUUUAUAUUAGAUAAUUUGAGAUUCGAUCUCUGGUUCCACUAUAAAUCAGGUAAGAAUUUGAUCCUUAAUCAUGUAGAUGAAUAAAAAAAAUUUUAGAUGCAACCUAGGCUUUCUGAGGAGAAACAGUUUCUUUCCUUUCAACAACAACCAGCACCCCACCCUCUUUAGUCGGCCAUGAGGAGAGAGAGUCUCAGUAAAAGUGGACUAUAAGGAUCC
This 429-nucleotide long non-coding RNA is filed under the name Elaeis guineensis (African oil palm). RNAcentral's name for it is "long non-coding RNA (EGUI_LNC057343)". Lineage: Eukaryota; Viridiplantae; Streptophyta; Magnoliopsida; Arecales; Arecaceae. The record is from RNAcentral.